This 176-nucleotide ribosomal RNA is filed under the name uncultured bacterium. RNAcentral's name for it is "partial 16S ribosomal RNA". It matches the Rfam family "Bacterial small subunit ribosomal RNA", at positions 1325 to 1500 of the family's 1533-position model. The record is from RNAcentral.
GCUGGAAUCGCUAGUAAUCGCGGAUCAGAAUGCCGCGGUGAAUACGUUCCCGGGUCUUGUACACACCGCCCGUCACACCAUGGGAGUCAGUAACGCCCGAAGUCAGUGACCGAACCGAGAGGACGGAGCUGCCGAAGGCGGGACGGAUAACUGGGGUGAAGUCGUAACAAGGUAAC